Molecule: long non-coding RNA, 232 nt
Filed under: Salvia miltiorrhiza (redroot sage)
Lineage: Eukaryota; Viridiplantae; Streptophyta; Magnoliopsida; Lamiales; Lamiaceae
Description: long non-coding RNA (SMIL_LNC014108)
Source: RNAcentral
UAUAAAUGGACUAUGCAUGUUUUUAUGGGAUAAACGAAAAAAGAAAAGUAUGCAUGUUUUUAUGAAAUGGAGGGGGUAUUUUUUAUAUAUAACUUAAAAAUGGACAUUUUUAUUUUUUUACUCGACUUUAGGUAAUGUUUUACAUUUUUCGUUCUUUUGUGUGUCUAUUUUUUUGUUGCUUUUUUUAUGAUACGUUUAUUUAUUUUUUGUAAAAUUUUCAUAGAAAAUAAUC